AUUCGACUUUCGAGUCGUCGAUGCUAUUAUUAUUAUUAUUAUUAUUGUAUUAAUAUUUUGUUAUUAACAAUUUACGCGGUGGCGACGUGACGUUUUAAAUAUGCGCGGGAAGUACACGGGAGGCGCCCGCGCACGGGAUUAUUUUCAACGGUCGACGGGCAGGAGAAAAUCCGAUACGUUCGGCGCUCGAAGCGCGGGCGGUCGGGGAGAAGUGUUCAAGUGCGUACGUCGACGGCGGCGCGGCAAAUCACCCGUGACGCUCCUACGUUUCGUCUUUUAAAAACGCGGCGACCAAACGACAAACGAAUAAUACCGCACGGCGCACUUGCGAUACGAUAGGGUACAAUAUCAUCACAACAACAACCACAACAAUAACAACAAUUAAUAUUAUUAUUGCCGUCUUAAAAAUUAAAAAACCCCCGUGAUACUCGACGACGAUAAUAAUAAUAAUUAUGAUAACAACAAAAUACAGGUAGUCGCCGCUGGUGCGUUUAGUAAUAACAUAAAAUAAUAAUAAAUAAUCAUCUGUGUCGGAUUUUUUUUCAUCUCCGUAGCCGCC
This is a non-coding RNA of Cinara cedri, 559 nucleotides long. The record is from the annotation of a GenBank genome assembly. Lineage: Eukaryota; Metazoa; Arthropoda; Insecta; Hemiptera; Aphididae.